Molecule: ribosomal RNA, 252 nt
Filed under: uncultured bacterium
Lineage: Bacteria
Description: partial 16S ribosomal RNA
Rfam family: Bacterial small subunit ribosomal RNA
Source: RNAcentral
UAUGGAGGAUGCGAGCGUUAUCCGGAUUUAUUGGGUUUAAAGGGUGCGUAGGCGGAUCGUUAAGUCAGUGGUCAAAUUGAGGGGCUCAACCCCUUCCCGCCAUUGAAACUGGCGAUCUUGAGUGGAAGAGAAGUAUGCGGAAUGCGUGGUGUAGCGGUGAAAUGCAUAGAUAUCACGCAGAACCCCGAUUGCGAAGGCAGCAUGCCGGCUUCCUACUGACGCUGAAGCACGAAAGCGUGGGGAUCGAACAGG